UCUUUAAAUUAUAUUUUAAAGUCUGGUCUGCUCACUGAAUUUUAAAGAGCCGCAGUAUUUUGACUGUGCAAAGGUAGCAUAAUAAAUAGUUUUUUAAUUGAAAACUGGAAUGAAUGAUUGAAUGAUAAAUUUUCUUUCUUAUUUUUAUUUAUUGAAUUUAAAUUUUAAGUUAAAAUUCUUAAAUAAUAUUAAAAGACGAGAAGACCCUAUAGAUUUUUAUUUAUUAUAAAUUAAUUAUAUUUAUAAUUUAAAAAUGAAUUUAGUUGGGGUGAUUUUGUAAUAUAAAUAACUUAAAUUUUUAAUACCAUAAAUAAUUGAAUUUUUUUAUCUAAAAUUUUUAAAAAAAGAAUAAAUUACCUUAGGGAUAACAGCGUUAUAUUAUUUAAGAGUUCAUAUCUAUAAUAAUAAUUGCGACCUCGAUGUUGAAUUAAGAAUUAUACGGGAGUAGAAAUUCGUAGAAUUAGUCUGUUCGACUAUUAAUAUC
Molecule: ribosomal RNA, 484 nt
Filed under: Valenzuela flavidus
Lineage: Eukaryota; Metazoa; Arthropoda; Insecta; Psocodea; Caeciliusidae
Description: partial 16S ribosomal RNA
Source: RNAcentral